CUUCACCGACCCCAGCCACAACGGCCGGUUCCGAUCCUGACCGUAGGUGGCCAGCACCGCCUGCGCCUC
Molecule: antisense RNA, 69 nt
Filed under: Labedaea rhizosphaerae
Lineage: Bacteria; Bacillati; Actinomycetota; Actinomycetes; Pseudonocardiales; Pseudonocardiaceae
Description: Labedella sp. RS-49 ASpks TB sRNA
Rfam family: ASpks TB sRNA
Source: Rfam by way of RNAcentral